This is a non-coding RNA of Erythranthe guttata (spotted monkey flower), 804 nucleotides long. Lineage: Eukaryota; Viridiplantae; Streptophyta; Magnoliopsida; Lamiales; Phrymaceae. The record is from RefSeq and is a predicted model, not a curated record.
CUAACCUAUCAGACACACAAAUGACGAACGGGAGGGUUUUCAUUGUCUUCCCCCAAAACCGCCGCUCACAUCUCAUCACUUCAAUCCUCGGCGAACAGCUUUACCCCAUUGGUGAGAGAGAUUCACUUCACCAGAGAGAGAGAGCUUAAUCCACCGGAGAUGGAGAGACCGCGGCGACAGAGAAGCAGGGACGAGGAAAAGGGAUAGAGAGCUCGUUCAACCCUGUCCUUCAGCGUCGACGGUCAUUUUCUUACUCAAAAGUUGCAGGAUAUUCAAUACGGAAGCUUAGCGGCUAUAGUAAUUGGUAUACGGUAUGUGAUCGAAGAUCCUACCAUAUGUGAUCGAAGAUCCUACCAUCCCGAAACCAUGGAAAUCACUAAUACAUGAUGCAGUUUAUCUUAUUCGUAAAGAUGCAAAUGUGAGACUAGUGUUGGGCAGGGACCACGUGCUACGCAGAUACAUGAUGAAGUUGUCAAAUUGUAAAAUUGAAAAGAUCGUCCAAGAUGAACAGGUGGGGUUUGAGGGGAUGAGAGGGAGAGAAAUAUAAAUGAUGAUAACAUGGCUUGCGGAUGUUGGGGGUGAUACAGGAUAAUUGUUUAGAGAUUGGGUCUUUGUUAUAAGAUAUUUAUGGCUCGACAUUUGUAUUAGCAUUUUACCAAUAGAUAUAUUAGCAAACUUUUGAAAUAUCGCAACAGAGAUAAUGGUUGUCUUAAUAUACUUAUAUGAUCAUUUUAUUGGUUUUGUAGUACAUUUCUUUGAUACAUAUAAUUUGUGACAAAGUGUUUAUGACAGAGGAUUGGUGAC